RNAcentral lists this ribosomal RNA (311 nucleotides) under Pleurotus dryinus. RNAcentral's name for it is "partial small subunit ribosomal RNA". Lineage: Eukaryota; Fungi; Basidiomycota; Agaricomycetes; Agaricales; Pleurotaceae. The record is from RNAcentral.
CCGUGAUGAACUAACCGUCUGUCGCUGGGAAGAAGCUUAACUUGGGGGAAACUGCCUCGAAAAUAAAACUUAAAUAUAAAUAUGCCAUUCUUUAAUUUUAUUAUUAAAGUACUAAAAUAAAAUUAAAAUUAUUAAUUUUAGGAUAGUUUUGAUUUACAAAUUCUUGUAUUAAAUUAUUAGAAAUAGUAACUUUAAAUUAAAAAAACAAAAUUUUUUUACCAAAAAACAAUUAUGUUAAGAUAUUAUAGUAUCAGUUAACCCAUUUAAGUAACAAGUCUUCAAAAGUCAUAGCAAGGUAGAUUGUACUGGAA